AUGCCCUCCCUAGGAUGUACUAUGUACUGUUUCUGGUCUCUCCUUUCCUUACAUGGUUCUGUUCUUCACCAUGUCUCCUUUCCCCAAACUGUCUUUUUUUGUACUUGCUUCUUCUUUCACACUUUUCUGUUAUUGACACUUAGUCAUAUUAAUCUAUGUUUUUUCUUCCCUUGGCAUGUUCCUACUCUUUCUAGUGAGUUAAGUUGCUCUGUUUCUACCCUUGGCACUCCUGGACAAUGGCAAGAUAGAGCCCAGAGCAUGCCAGCCUCUGAUGCUGCAGAUACCCAGGAGAACCCUUAUCAGGCUGUCACAGAGCUACAUGAAUUGGAUGGGACCCCUGGCAAAAAACCCACCUUACUACUGAGACCAUGCACAAACCUGGCAGGGAUGAGGACAGCACAAGGCUCCAAGCACAAGUGGGAUGACCUCCAGCAGUGAGAUGUUGCCAGCCAAAAGACUUUAUCUCAGCUUCUCUGGGCUGCGGAGGCCUCACCAUCCUGCAUCCCCAGUGCUCCCAGUCUGAUUUCUUUGACCUGCAGAGGCACAGGCUGGAUUUCCCAGCUCCAAGGUCCCACCAUACUGACAUUCCAUGCUCACUGGGAGCAGCCUCCUGCCAGAGGGUAUUGCUUAGCAAUAUCAAACUGUUGAGGGCAUGGGCUGAGAAAUUAAUGCUUUGUAGAACAAAUUACUUAAGAAAGAAAGAAUGAAAGGAUGCAGAAGGUUACUGUGAGCAGCCCUGUGCUUCUCAGCCAUCUGACCCCAGACCCCAGCUUGUGCUGGUGCCUGGGGUUGUUCCUCCCCUAGGACAGGAGGUGGCAUCACCUCUGCCCAGGCAGGUUGCAGCCUGCUUACCUUAUUUGGAUCUGAAAGACAGAAAUUUAUGUGGUCACUGCAGCAAGAACCAAAGAAGCUUUCCCAGGCAGGAGGCAAGAGAGUGGUGCACUGGUGCAGGGAGCAGCGUGGCAUCGAUGCCAAGGUGCAUGCAGACUCACAGCUGUGCUGGAAACAUGCUGGAUGGGUUAAUUUUUCCUUCUGUUGGGCAGGAGCAAACCCUGUUCUCAGCUUAGCUGCCACUGCUGCCUGCAUCCCACGCUCUGCUGGGCUUGCGGGGGGUUUCUUGUCCCCUCCUCUCACCCCCGCCAGGUUUGCUUCUUUAGCUGAGCCGUUCCGGGGGCCGGCUGGUAUUUCAGUCACUGAAGAAAUUAGUAACUGAUUUAUGUAACAUCUCGUGUGACUGACUGCAGGGUCUUCACAGAGAGACAACUGCAAACAAAUGUGCUAUCAGCAGAAUAAGAAAAAGGAGCCCAGAACAUACCCCACAGUGAACAGUGGAAUCGCACUGCAAGGCCAGAUGGCACUUUGCUGCCGUGCAGUGGCACCUGUACCUGUGUGCCAUGGCCAUGUCCUGUUUCACUGCAGCUCAGCUCUGCAGGAGAGGCCCAGCAGCCAUGUUACCAUGUUCUUUACAGGGCUGACCAGAGCUGGUUCUCACCUUGAAAAGGAGUUUCUGGUCUCCUCUGUUUCUCCAGAUGUCAGGCAUGUCCCAGCAUCACAGCACUGAGCACUGAGGUACUGUGUCUCCCAGGACAUGCUCAGGCUGGUGUCACCCACCAGCAACACCUCUCCUGCUGCCCCUGCCCAGCUGCAUCAGUGCCCAGCAGACACAGGAGCUGCAGCUCAGCAGGUGCUGGAUGCUGUUGGCUCUCGCUCCUCCUCCUGGCUCCUUGCUGAGACUUUGGUGUCUGUCUCUCAUCUCUGGUCAUCAAUGCUUAUGGUCAGGCAGAAGGGAUAGUCACCCCACACAUACAUGGGGAAACCUGGGCAGACCAAUUCUGGAACAUCAGAUUCUGCAUCUCUCCCUGACUCUCCUGGGGCUGAAGCUUCCAGCUUGGAUGGUCCAGGGGUUAUUCUGAGUGUGCCCAUGUCCCCAGGCCACUGAUGGCAGAGCUGAUCCCUCUGCAGGAAUGGAAACCCCACUGGUUCAGCAGCGGUGGGCAGGAAGGCUGAGCAACAUGCCAGCAUUCCUCUCAGCAGCUGUGGUUCAGUAGCAAAGGAAAUAACAAAGAAAUGCUUGCAAAAUAAAAAUGCUUUUGAUGUGAAUAGAAAUGUUUAU
This is a long non-coding RNA of Cyanistes caeruleus (blue tit), 2113 nucleotides long. Lineage: Eukaryota; Metazoa; Chordata; Aves; Passeriformes; Paridae. The record is from Ensembl.